GUCGCACGUGGAAUUCCCUUCGGGGUUGAGUAGCGUGGCGGACGGGUGAGUAACGCGUGGAUGACCUGCCCUACCGGUGGGGGAUAACCCGGGGAAACCCGGGCUAAUACCGCAUACGUCCUGUUCCUAUGGGGGCAGGGGAAAGCUGGCCUCUGAUGCACGCUAGCGCCGGAGGAGGGGUCCGCGUCGGAUUAGCUUGUUGGUGGGGUAAAAGCUCACCAAGGCGACGAUCCGUAGCUGGUCUUAGCGGAUGAUCAGCCACACUGGGACUGAGACACGGCCCAGACGCCUACGGGCGGCAGCAGUGGGGAAUCUUGGACAAUGGGGGCAACCCUGAUCCAGCCAUGCCGCGUGGGUGAAGAAGGCCUUCGGGUUGUAAAGCCCUUUCAGCUGUGAAGACGCCGGGUUGUUCGAACAGGGCAGCCUUGGUGACGUUAGCAGCAGAAGAAGCACCGGCCAACUCCGUGCCAGCAGCCGCGGUAACACGGAGGGUGCAAGCGUUAAUCGGAAUCACUGGGCGUAAAGGGCACGCAGGCGGCCCGUCAAGUGGGAUGUGAAAGCCCCGGGCUCAACCUGGGAAUGGCAUUCCAAACU
This 594-nucleotide ribosomal RNA is filed under the name uncultured bacterium. RNAcentral's name for it is "bacterial SSU rRNA". It matches the Rfam family "Bacterial small subunit ribosomal RNA", at positions 61 to 634 of the family's 1533-position model. The record is from RNAcentral.